GAAUACGUCACGUCCUGGCUCGAGAACCUGGGAAAGGACUGGGUGGCUGAAAGAUGGCUGGAAAGCGCAUUUAGCCAACCGAGCCUGCGCAUGGAACCUGCGGCGCUGCACAGCUGCAUAGAGAUGUGGAGCACCUCCCUUUACCGUAGAAAGUAGGCGAGCCAGCUCGAGGCACUAUACUGAGGAAGCGCUGCGGCCUACUUCCGCCGUUUUUCUUAACAUCAAAGAAACUUCCGGUAGUGGGGUGUCUUGCAUUCCACCGUGUCGGUGCCCCAGAAUGAGACGCAAGCUGAUCUGCAGAUCCCGCAGGGUGCCUUCUGCUCUUUUCGGGGCAGGUUGGCCGGUAGGGGAGAAGGCCGCCAUUGGAACGCGGCCUUUAUGUCGGGUUCUCUCAAGAGUCUAAGAUCGCACCCUCACCAGCGGAGGGAAGGAGCCCACUCCCAGCCACACCGCUUUGUUUUCUUUCGCUUAGCCUUGUUGCGCCGUUCUCUAAGCCACUCAUGUCCUUAGAUCAGAUUGAGGGGCCCGCAGGAUUUAAGCCUUUAAUCCACAGCACAUUCCAAGCACCUACCCGGUGGUAGGCCCUAACAAGGAACACAGGCAAGUGACACGCUGCCUGGCCUGAAAGGUCCGCUCAGACCUUUACAUGAAGUUAAUAAAUGUUAAGCUUCAGGGCCCCUCGCUUGUAUGGCCUCCUGGGAGAAUAGAUAGUUGCUGAGUUGUGGAGAGGGGAAGCCAGCUUGAGAUUAGGAAGCAAAUCUAUGUAAGCAUUUCUAAUAAAUUACCCAGAGAGAUCUAAGGAGAAUCUGAAUCUCCAAGUCUCUAGUAA
This 829-nucleotide long non-coding RNA is filed under the name Homo sapiens (human). Its description in RNAcentral is "novel transcript". The record is from RNAcentral. Lineage: Eukaryota; Metazoa; Chordata; Mammalia; Primates; Hominidae.